CCUACGGGGGGCAGCAGUGAGGAAUAUUGGUCAAUGGGCUUACGCCUGAACCAGCCAAGUCGCGUGAGGGAAGACUGCCCUAUGGGUUGUAAACCUCUUUUGUCAGGGAGCAACGCCGGCUACGUGUAGCCGGACUGAGAGUACCUGAAGAAAAAGCAUCGGCUAACUCCGUGCCAGCAGCCGCGGUAAUACGGAGGAUGCGAGCGUUAUCCGGAUUUAUUGGGUUUAAAGGGUGCGUAGACGGAAUGCCAAGUCAGCGGUAAAAUCGCGGGGCUCAACCUCGCUCCGCCGUUGAAACUGGCGGUCUUGAGUGGGCGAGAGGUAUGCGGAAUGCGUGGUGUAGCGGUGAAAUGCAUAGAUAUCACGAAGAACUCCGAUUGCGAAGGCAGCAUACCGGCGCCCAACUGACGCUGAAGCACGAAAGCGUGGGUAUCGAACAGGAUUAGAUACCCGGGUAGUC
This 460-nucleotide ribosomal RNA is filed under the name uncultured bacterium. RNAcentral's name for it is "partial 16S ribosomal RNA". It matches the Rfam family "Bacterial small subunit ribosomal RNA", at positions 338 to 795 of the family's 1533-position model. The record is from RNAcentral.